CAGUUCCGACAGCGCGAAAGGAGUAUAAAGCUGAGCGAGGCACCAUGAAGUGGAGAGUGCUGAGAAUUGGGAGGCUCGGGACUAUGGUCUGAAGAAGCUUUUAUUCGAGAAGAAGAAAACAGCAAGCUGGCAGGUGGCAGCUAAGUUGGCAAGGAAGAAUGAGAUUUUGAAGGACUAUGAAGCAAGUGUAGCGAAAACCGGAGGCAUGCUCAAUCAUUAGUUCGAUGGAAUUUAAUCAGUCUAUGUUGGCUGAAGCUCUGUUAUCCAAAGACGAGAGCGAUGCUGCAUCAACUAAGAAAGAAAAAUAGAAGAGUCUUGACUCGAUACCAGUUAAUUUGCAGCUCCCUAAAUCUUAGGGGAUGAAAUUAUCGAAAUUCCGGCCUUUUUACUUAUGCACUUUCACACAGUAGCCUUUGUAAAGGAUUGGUGGAGAUUUGGAUAAUAUCAUUAUCAUCCCCGUAAUAGGAAAGAUAUCUUUGUAAAGGAAGGUGGCUUCAAUGUUUCAAACUAUUCCUCUCCACCCUCAAAAUGUAACUUACCAAAAGACGCUUUCUGUGCUUGGACCCUUCUGCUCCUCCUCACUUAUAAGUGAAGUGGAUGGCUGGUUUCGGUUGGUUCUUAGUAGGUUCAAGCCAGUUUAAGCAAAUAUAAAAGAUUUUGCAACAUCUU
Long non-coding RNA from Beta vulgaris subsp. vulgaris (sugar beet), 669 nucleotides. RefSeq lists it as uncharacterized. The transcript is spliced from 3 exons. The record is from RefSeq and is a predicted model, not a curated record. NCBI's taxonomy places the organism in Eukaryota, Viridiplantae, Streptophyta, Magnoliopsida, Caryophyllales, Amaranthaceae.